GACGUAGGGCGCGAGCGUUGUCCGGAUUUAUUGGGCGUAAAGCGCUCGUAGGCGGCUUGUCGCGUCGACUGUGAAAACCCGUGGCUCAACCAUGUGGUCUGCAGUCGAUACGGGCAGGCUAGAAUUCGGUAGGGGAGACUGGAAUUCCUGGUGUAGCGGUGAAAUGCGCAGAUAUCAGGAGGAACACCAGCGGCGAAGGCGGCGCUCUGGGCCGGAACUGACGCUGAGGAGCGAAAGCGUGGGUAGCAAACAGG
RNAcentral lists this ribosomal RNA (254 nucleotides) under uncultured bacterium. Its description in RNAcentral is "partial 16S ribosomal RNA". It matches the Rfam family "Bacterial small subunit ribosomal RNA", at positions 524 to 776 of the family's 1533-position model. The record is from RNAcentral.